GCCUAGGUGGCUCAGUCGGUUAAGCAUCUGACUUCAGCUCAGGCCACAGUGAGUUUGAGCCCCACGCUGGGCU
RNAcentral lists this transfer RNA (73 nucleotides) under Felis catus (domestic cat). It matches the Rfam family "tRNA". Rfam says of the family: Transfer RNA (tRNA) molecules are approximately 80 nucleotides in length. Their secondary structure includes four short double-helical elements and three loops (D, anti-codon, and T loops). Further hydrogen bonds mediate the characteristic L-shaped molecular structure. tRNAs have two regions of fundamental functional importance: the anti-codon, which is responsible for specific mRNA codon recognition, and the 3' end, to which the tRNAs corresponding amino acid is attached (by aminoacyl-tRNA synthetases). tRNAs cope with the degeneracy of the genetic code in two manners: having more than one tRNA (with a specific anti-codon) for a particular amino acid; and 'wobble' base-pairing, i.e. permitting non-standard base-pairing at the 3rd anti-codon position. The record is from Rfam by way of RNAcentral. Lineage: Eukaryota; Metazoa; Chordata; Mammalia; Carnivora; Felidae.